UACGAAGGGGGCUAGCGUUGCUCGGAAUUACUGGGCGUAAAGGGCGCGUAGGCGGAUCAGCAAGUUGGGGGUGAAAGCCCGGGGCUCAACCUCGGAAUUGCCUUCAAAACUGCUGAUCUAGAGUACGGGAGAGGUGUGUGGAACUCCGAGUGUAGAGGUGAAAUUCGUAGAUAUUCGGAAGAACACCAGUGGCGAAGGCGACACACUGGCCCGUUACUGACGCUGAGGCGCGAAAGCGUGGGGAGCAAAC
This 250-nucleotide ribosomal RNA is filed under the name uncultured Alphaproteobacteria bacterium. RNAcentral describes it as "partial 16S ribosomal RNA". It matches the Rfam family "Bacterial small subunit ribosomal RNA", at positions 524 to 773 of the family's 1533-position model. The record is from RNAcentral. Lineage: Bacteria; Pseudomonadati; Pseudomonadota; Alphaproteobacteria.